CGCGAAACAAGUUGAGCUAACUUAUUACGUUUCUUAGAACUAAGUAUGUGGCAUAAUAUAAUACGAUCAUAAGUUAGGAGUGAUAGGCUAAUCACAUCUUGUGAUAUCUCGAUUCUCUAGAAUUGCAACAGUGCGGUUACAACUAAAGAGUGAUUAGGCUUUUUAAUAUUACUAAUAUAUGCUUUUUUCCUUUCUAUGGCUUAGUCGUCAAGAGGAAUAGAACAGAAUAUUGUUAUAUAUAAUUUGUAUUUUUUAUAGGGAACUUUUGAACACUCAGCGGAUUUUAUAAUGUUAAUAUAAGUAAUCUAUAGGAACUAUUAAUGAAUUCGGCAAUAUUUCUUUCACCUGUUUACCAAAAACAUCGCCAUUUGAAACUAUUGAUGGUAUUUUCUGCUCCAUGAUUUUUAAAUAGCCGCAGUACCCUGACUGUGCAAAGGUAGCGUAAUCAUUUGACUUUUAAUUGAAGUCCUGUAUGAAUGAAAGGAUGGGGGAAAGCUUUAUCUGUGGUUUAUUCUGAACUUAAUUAGUAAGUGAAAAUGCUUACAUACAAAUAAUAGACGAGAAGACCCUAGAAAUUUUCAUGAUAUGUGCUAGGCGAUUUUUGUUGGGGCAACAUAGUAGCAGGUUAACCUACACUAUAAAACACGAAAUAUGAUAGUUAGUUUAAAUUACUCUAGGGAUAACAGCGUAAUAUUUAAUUGUUUGCGACCUCGAUGUUGGACUAGGAAUCGAUUGCUUAGAA
RNAcentral lists this ribosomal RNA (742 nucleotides) under Kimboraga wulalam. Its description in RNAcentral is "partial 16S ribosomal RNA". The record is from RNAcentral. Lineage: Eukaryota; Metazoa; Mollusca; Gastropoda; Stylommatophora; Camaenidae.